RNAcentral lists this ribosomal RNA (407 nucleotides) under uncultured bacterium. RNAcentral's name for it is "bacterial SSU rRNA". It matches the Rfam family "Bacterial small subunit ribosomal RNA", at positions 94 to 518 of the family's 1533-position model. The record is from RNAcentral.
AGUGGCGGACGGGUGAGUAACGCGUGGGUAACCUGCCUCAUACAGGGGGAUAACAGUUAGAAAUGACUGCUAACACCGCAUAAUAUAGCGAAACCGCAUGAUUUUUGCUAUCAAAUAUUUAUAGGUAUGAGAUGGGCCCGCGUCUGAUUAGCUAGUUGGUGGGGUAAAAGCCUACCAAGGCGACGAUCAGUAGCCGGCUUGAGAGAGUGACCGGCCACAUUGGGACUGAGACACGGCCCAAACUCCACGGGAGGCAGCAGUGGGGAAUAUUGGACAAUGGGGGAAACCCUGAUCCAGCCGACGCCGCGUGAGUGAAGAAGUAUUUCGGUAUGUAAAGCUCUAUCAGCAGGGAAGAUAAUGACAGUACCUGACUAAGAAGCCCCGGCUAACUACGUGCCAGCCGCCGC